AGAACGAACGCUGGCGGCAUGCCUAACACAUGCAAGUCGAACGAGACCUUCGGGUCUAGUGGCGCACGGGUGCGUAACGCGUGGGAAUCUGCCCUUAGGUACGGAAUAACAGUGAGAAAUUACUGCUAAUACCGUAUGAUGUCUUCGGACCAAAGAUUUAUCGCCUAGGGAUGAGCCCGCGUUGGAUUAGCUAGUUGGUGGGGUAAGGGCCUACCAAGGCGACGAUCCAUAGCUGGUCUGAGAGGAUGAUCAGCCACACUGGGACUGAGACACGGCCCAGACUCCUACGGGAGGCAGCAGUGGGAAUAUUGGACAAUGGGCGAAAGCCUGAUCCAGCAAUGCCGCGUGAGUGAAGAAGGCCUUCGGGUUGUAAAGCUCUUUUACCCGGGAAGAUAAUGACUGUACCGGGAGAAGUAAGCCCCGGCUAACUCCGUGCCAGCAGCCGC
This 446-nucleotide ribosomal RNA is filed under the name uncultured bacterium. Its description in RNAcentral is "SSU rRNA". It matches the Rfam family "Bacterial small subunit ribosomal RNA", at positions 26 to 518 of the family's 1533-position model. The record is from RNAcentral.